GGCCGGUUAACUCAGUUGGUUAGAGCGUGGUGCUAAUAACGCCAAGGUCACGGGUUCAACCCCCGUACCGGCCA
This 74-nucleotide transfer RNA is filed under the name Gadus morhua (Atlantic cod). Its description in RNAcentral is "tRNA-Ile (AAT) (tRNA-Ile-AAT-5-1)". It matches the Rfam family "tRNA". Rfam says of the family: Transfer RNA (tRNA) molecules are approximately 80 nucleotides in length. Their secondary structure includes four short double-helical elements and three loops (D, anti-codon, and T loops). The record is from RNAcentral. Lineage: Eukaryota; Metazoa; Chordata; Actinopteri; Gadiformes; Gadidae.